AAGAAGAAGAAGAAGAGAAAGAGGUUGAGAUUAAAAUAGAGAGAGAAUAAGAAGAAAGUUUGAGUGAGAAAGAGAAAGAUGUAGAAAAGGAAGAAGAGGAGAGCAAAGAAAAAGAAUUUUUGAGUGAAAAAGAGAAAGAUAUAGAGGAAGAAAAAGAAGGGGUUGAGAGAGAAGAGAAAAAAAUUGAGAAAAGUCCUUUGUGCCC
RNAcentral lists this long non-coding RNA (205 nucleotides) under Vigna radiata. RNAcentral describes it as "long non-coding RNA (VRAD_LNC016424)". The record is from RNAcentral. Lineage: Eukaryota; Viridiplantae; Streptophyta; Magnoliopsida; Fabales; Fabaceae.